AUGUCCUUCAAUUCUCUGACACUCUCCCUCCCUCUUUCAUCUUUACUCUCUCCCUCUCUUUUAUUACACCAAGAGUCCCUUGUUUGCUUUCCAGUCUCGUUAGGAGAAAUUGGAAUGUACAAAAAUCACAUAAAAGAUACCAACAACAACUGCAAUAAAAGCCUUCUCCCUGACCAUAAGGAGAAGCUGAUCCAGGCUAUUAAAAGAAUAAAGCAUGAGGUAGACGAGUGCUGGGAGGCAGAGAGAGAGACGUACAUAUGGUCUGUUGGUGUAGAGAGAUGCUUUGAUAAUCUGGAACGGGAGGUCCGAGCUGAGUUCCAGAACCUCCAUCGCUUCCUGGACGAAGAGGAGACCAUGGACAUGGAGCGACUGAAGAAGGAGAAAGAGAAGAGGGUGAAGCUGCUUAGGGAGAGGGAGAAGAAGAUCGCCAUGCAGGGAAGAGAUCUGGAGAGAGGCAUUGCCACGCUAAACAACAAACUGGCCGAGGAGGAUAGUCCCAAACUGCUCAAAGAGAUUCAAGACCUCUUGAAAAGGCAAGUGUUUAUAUUUCAUUAUUU
This 557-nucleotide long non-coding RNA is filed under the name Oncorhynchus kisutch (coho salmon). RNAcentral's name for it is "lncRNA (ENSOKIG00005034392.1)". The record is from RNAcentral. Lineage: Eukaryota; Metazoa; Chordata; Actinopteri; Salmoniformes; Salmonidae.